This 498-nucleotide ribosomal RNA is filed under the name uncultured bacterium. RNAcentral describes it as "partial 16S ribosomal RNA". It matches the Rfam family "Bacterial small subunit ribosomal RNA", at positions 28 to 508 of the family's 1533-position model. The record is from RNAcentral.
GAUGAACGCUGGCGGCGUGCCUAAUACAUGCAAGUCGAGCGAACGGACGAGAAGCUUGCUUUUCUGAUGUUAGCGGCGGACGGGUGAGUAACACGUGGAUAACCUACCUAUAAGACUGGGAUAACUUCGGGAAACCGGAGCUAAUACCGGAUAAUAUUUUGAACCGCAUGGUUCAAAAGUGAAAGACGGUCUUGCUGUCACUUAUAGAUGGAUCCGCGCUGCAUUAGCUAGUUGGUAAGGUAACGGCUUACCAAGGCAACGAUGCAUAGCCGACCUGAGAGGUGGACUGGCACACACGGAAAAGGAAACCGGCCACGGAGUCCGGGGGGGGGCACAAGGGGGAAAUAUCCGGAAAGGGGGGAAAGCCGGAGGGACAACCUCCGGGUGAGGAAUAAAGUUUUUGGUAUCUUAAAACUUUGUUAUGAGGGAAAAACAUUUGUUAAAGUAAUUGGCCCCUCUUGGCGGUGCCUUAACAAGAAGCCCCCGCCUAACUCGGGC